GACAUGUCUACACAGUCAUGGCCCUCAUUUAGAAUUUACCCAGAUGUGCUUUUUUUCUCAAUUAUGAGUUUUUGCCACUGGGAUUUUUGACCUGGCCCAAGUUCACUGGGUGGACUGGUAAUCCAAGACCCUGGUCCAAAGAGGGGAAAUAGAUUUUAUUCCCAUUUUUGAUUAUAUGUGUUUACAUUGUGAAUUAUAAUAAUAAUAUUCCCGUUGUUGGGAAUAAUACACUUUGCCUGUUUUGAUCCAAGGCUCAAGUUGCAGAUAACAUGAUGUGCAGUAUGUUUAAAAUUGGUUAAGAUGUCAGCUGUUUGAAAUAUUUAACUUGUACACUUAAAAGAUGUGUACAACAGAUGAUUACAGAAGCUGAAAAUCGACAGCUCGAUCUCCUCUUAAAGGGAAAACCUACGGCAUAGAGCAAAUGGGG
Non-coding RNA from Pelobates cultripes (western spadefoot toad), 427 nucleotides. Lineage: Eukaryota; Metazoa; Chordata; Amphibia; Anura; Pelobatidae. The record is from the annotation of a GenBank genome assembly.